Molecule: ribosomal RNA, 972 nt
Filed under: Geodia neptuni
Lineage: Eukaryota; Metazoa; Porifera; Demospongiae; Tetractinellida; Geodiidae
Description: SSU rRNA
Rfam family: Eukaryotic small subunit ribosomal RNA
Source: RNAcentral
CUGUCUCAAGACUAAGCCAUGCAUGUCUAAGUAUGAACGCUUCGUACUGUGAAACUGCGAAUGGCUCAUUAAAUCAGUUAUAGUUUAUUUGAUGGUCGUUUGCUACAUGGAUAACCGUGGUAAUUCUAGAGCUAAUACAUGCAGAAGGUCCCGACUCCUGGAAGGGACGUAUUUAUUAGAUCCAAAACCAGCGCGGGUUGCCUUCACGGGCGCCCGGUACCUGGGUGAUUCAUGAUAACUUCUCGAAUCGCACGGCCCUCGCGCCGGCGAUGGUCCAUUCAAAUUUCUGCCCUAUCAACUUUCGAUGGUACGGUAGUGGCCUACCAUGGUUGCAACGGGUGACGGAGAAUUAGGGUUCGAUUCCGGAGAGGGAGCCUGAGAAACGGCUACCACAUCCAAGGAAGGCAGCAGGCGCGCAAAUUACCCAAUCCCGACUCGGGGAGGUAGUGACAAUAAAUAACAAUGCCGGGCUCUUGUAGUCUGGCAAUUGGAAUGAGUCCAAUCUAAACCCCUUAACGAGGAACAAUUGGAGGGCAAGUCUGGUGCCAGCAGCCGCGGUAAUUCCAGCUCCAAUAGCGUAUAUUAAAGUUGUUGCAGUUAAAAAGCUCGUAGUUGGAUUUCGGGGCGGCCCGGCCGGUCCGCCGCAAGGCGAGUACUGGUCGGGCGCCCUUCCUCUCGAAGGCUUCGACUGCUCUUGAUUGUGGUGGUCGAGGAGUUCGGGACGUUUACUUUGAAAAAAUUAGAGUGUUCAAGGCAGGCCGUGGCCUGAAUACAUUAGCAUGGAAUAAUGGAAGAGGACCUCGGUCCUAUUUUGUUGGUUUCCAGGGCCGAAGUAAUGAUUGAGAGGGACAGUUGGGGGCAUUCGUAUUUAAUUGUCAGAGGUGAAAUUCUCGGAUUUAUGAAAGACGAACAAGUGCGAAAGCAUUUGCCAAGGAUGUUUUCAUUAAUCAAGAACGAAAGUUGGGGGUUCGA